ACGAACGCUGGCGGCGUGCUUAACACCUGCAAGUCGAACGGAAAGGCCCUGCUUUUGUGGGGUGCUCGAGUGGCGAACGGGUGAGUAACACGUGAGUAACCUGCCCUUGACUUUGGGAUAACUUCAGGAAGCUGGGGCUAAUACCGGAUAGGAGCUCCUGCUGCAUGGUGGGGGUUGGAAAGUUUCGGCGGUUGGGGAUGGACUCGCGGCUUAUCAGCUUGUUGGUGGGGUAGUGGCUUACCAAGGCUUUGACGGGUAGCCGGCCUGAGAGGGUGACCGGCCACAUUGGGACUGAGAUACGGCCCAGACUCCUACGGGAGGCAGCAGUGGGGAAUAUUGCACAAUGGGCGGAAGCCUGAUGCAGCAACGCCGCGUGCGGGAUGACGGCCUUCGGGUUGUAAACCGCUUUCGCCUGUGACGAAGCGUGAGUGACGGUAAUGGGUAAAGAAGCACCGGCUAACUACGUG
RNAcentral lists this ribosomal RNA (467 nucleotides) under uncultured bacterium. RNAcentral describes it as "partial 16S ribosomal RNA". It matches the Rfam family "Bacterial small subunit ribosomal RNA", at positions 29 to 507 of the family's 1533-position model. The record is from RNAcentral.